UCCUGGUUAACCCAGGCAGUCUCGUUAGAGUGCCCGCCAUUACGCGUUGGCAACUAACGACAAGGGUUGCGCUCGUUGCGGGACUUAACCCAACACCUCACGGCACGAGCUGACGACAGCCAUGCAGCACCUGUGCACCUGUCCCUUGCGGGAAAACUCCAUUACUGGAGCGGUCAAGUGCAUGUCAAGACCAGGUAAGGUUCUUCGCGUUGCAUCGAAUUAAACCACAUGCUCCACUGCUUGUGCGGGUCCCCGUCAAUUCUUUUGAGUUUCACCCUUGCGAGCGUACUUCCCAGGCGGUAUACUUAACACGUUAGCUACGGCACAGUUGGGGUUGAGACCAACUACGCCAAGUAUACAUAGUUUAAGGCAAGGACUAC
Molecule: unclassified non-coding RNA, 380 nt
Filed under: uncultured Chlamydiales bacterium
Lineage: Bacteria; Pseudomonadati; Chlamydiota; Chlamydiia; Chlamydiales
Description: contains 16S-23S intergenic spacer region
Source: RNAcentral